UAGACCCUGCUUUUUUGAAUUAUAAAGAGAAAAUAUUGGUGCAUUAAAAGAACACUCACAGGAAAUGGCUUAUUGAGACAUUAUCAGAGGGUCUUGAAAACAACAAGAAAAAAAAAAAAAAGUAGUAAUUCAUGUUUAUCUCUGUCAUUUACAGGUACUUUGAGAGGAGUGGACAACGAAGGAAAAUCAAAAGAACCCAAAAUCUAAACAAAUAUCUGAAGAACGAAAGGAGAUCACUGAGGGAAAACUAUCACCUCAGAUGUUUACAGUGAACUCAUAAACUAUGUAGCAGUGACCUAGCCUAGUACUAAAUUGCAUAAGAAAGGAACAAAAACCAAGAAGUCUACAGAAGGAAAUGACCAUGCUGGAGAUGGAAGAAGAGAAUCUAUUCAAUGUUCAAGCAAUAAGGAUAGUUUUAACUGCAAGACUUCUUCUAUAACCAACAGAUUUAUUCCUUGUUCCUUUGAGAAUAAAAAUCUCCGUGUACCAGUGAAAGUCA
Molecule: long non-coding RNA, 499 nt
Filed under: Anser brachyrhynchus (Pink-footed goose)
Lineage: Eukaryota; Metazoa; Chordata; Aves; Anseriformes; Anatidae
Description: lncRNA (ENSABRG00000018836.1)
Source: RNAcentral